GAUGAACGCUGGCGGCGUGCCUAAUACAUGCAAGUCGAGCGAACAGACGAGGAGCUUGCUCCUCUGAUGUUAGCGGCGGACGGGUGAGUAACACGUGGAUAACCUACCUAUAAGACUGGGAUAACUUCGGGAAACCGGAGCUAAUACCGGAUAAUAUAUUGAACCGCAUGGUUCAAUAGUGAAAGACGGUUUUGCUGUCACUUAUAGAUGGAUCCGCGCCGCAUUAGCUAGUUGGUAAGGUAACGGCUUACCAAGGCAACGAUGCGUAGCCGACCUGAGAGGGUGGACCGGCCACCCGGAACUGAGACACGGUCCAGACUCCUACGGGAGGCAGCAGUAGGGAAUCUUCCGCAAUGGGCGAAAGCCUGACGGAGCAACGCCGCGUGAGUGAUGAAGGUCUUCGGAUCGUAAAACUCUGUUAUUAGGGAAGAACAAAUGUGUAAGUAACUAUGCACGUCUUGACGGUACCUAAUCAGAAAGCCACGGCUAACUACGUG
Molecule: ribosomal RNA, 497 nt
Filed under: uncultured bacterium
Lineage: Bacteria
Description: partial 16S ribosomal RNA
Rfam family: Bacterial small subunit ribosomal RNA
Source: RNAcentral